GUGAGCGAGGUGUGAGUGUCGCC
RNAcentral lists this non-coding RNA (23 nucleotides) under Arabidopsis thaliana (thale cress). The record is from RNAcentral. Lineage: Eukaryota; Viridiplantae; Streptophyta; Magnoliopsida; Brassicales; Brassicaceae.